This 76-nucleotide transfer RNA is filed under the name Bradyrhizobium sp. C9. Its description in RNAcentral is "tRNA-Lys". It matches the Rfam family "tRNA". From Rfam's summary of the family: Transfer RNA (tRNA) molecules are approximately 80 nucleotides in length. Their secondary structure includes four short double-helical elements and three loops (D, anti-codon, and T loops). Further hydrogen bonds mediate the characteristic L-shaped molecular structure. tRNAs have two regions of fundamental functional importance: the anti-codon, which is responsible for specific mRNA codon recognition, and the 3' end, to which the tRNAs corresponding amino acid is attached (by aminoacyl-tRNA synthetases). tRNAs cope with the degeneracy of the genetic code in two manners: having more than one tRNA (with a specific anti-codon) for a particular amino acid; and 'wobble' base-pairing, i.e. permitting non-standard base-pairing at the 3rd anti-codon position. The record is from RNAcentral. Lineage: Bacteria; Pseudomonadati; Pseudomonadota; Alphaproteobacteria; Hyphomicrobiales; Nitrobacteraceae.
GGGCUCGUAGCUCGAUUGGCAGAGCAGCAGACUUUUAAUCUGAAGGGUACGGGUUCGAGUCCCGCGGAGCCCACCA